Molecule: transfer RNA, 83 nt
Filed under: Ascochyta rabiei
Lineage: Eukaryota; Fungi; Ascomycota; Dothideomycetes; Pleosporales; Didymellaceae
Also listed under: 5 other names
Description: tRNA-Val
Source: RNAcentral
GGUUCGAUGGUGUAGUUGGUUAUCACGUCAGUCUAACAUUGUUAGUCCACUGAAGGUCUCCAGUUCAAGUCUGGGUCGAAUCA